Long non-coding RNA from Coregonus clupeaformis (lake whitefish), 447 nucleotides. RefSeq lists it as uncharacterized. Lineage: Eukaryota; Metazoa; Chordata; Actinopteri; Salmoniformes; Salmonidae. The transcript is spliced from 2 exons. The record is from RefSeq and is a predicted model, not a curated record.
CACAACAGGAUCGUACCACAAGGAUCUGCAAGUUUAUUUUCUAUUCUGAAGUUGAAAGAUAUUCGGCGCGAAUAAUAUCGUUCAAGCAAAAAGAAGGAAAUAAAGAGAGAUAUCAGCGAAUACAGGGAGGAGCCAGUGAUGAACAUGGACCCAAUAACUCUGAUGGAGGACAGGAGGAGGAGCUUCAAGGCGGCCUGGUACAACCCCUGGCUUGAAUAUUCAAACAAAUCAGACUGUGUUUUGUUACGCCUGUCUCAGAGACUGUUUUUGAUUCAAAAUUGGGUUUUAACAACUGGAAGAAGGCAACUUACAAAGAGGGGGGAUUUACAAUUCACGCAAGGUCUGAGCGGCACAAACAAGCAAUGAUUGCAUGGUGUCACGGACGUUGAAGGACGGGUCAGACCAAGGCGCAGCGUGAAAUGCAUACAUGUUUAUUAACAAAAUAAA